Sebastes umbrosus (honeycomb rockfish) is the source of this 504-nucleotide long non-coding RNA. RefSeq lists it as uncharacterized. The transcript has 3 exons. Lineage: Eukaryota; Metazoa; Chordata; Actinopteri; Perciformes; Sebastidae. The record is from RefSeq and is a predicted model, not a curated record.
AUUGAUCAUUUAAAGAAUUGUUGGCAGGUCCAAAAGGAAUGUUUUGUUUAUCUCUGUGGAAGAUAUCUGACGUUUGGUUCCCACUUCUAACAAGGCUUAUGAGCCAAUAGUAAAAUGACGUUGGUAUCACGUAGUAUCUCUGCUUGGCAACCACUUGUUAUGAAGUGAAUGCAAUGAAACGGGGGAGGGAGAAUGCGACAUCUUGUAGUUGAAUGGUAACACUGGCACCUUUAAUACUUGCCAUCAAUUAUUAUGGUGUAUUACACAUUAAACGUUUAUGGAUGGGUCAAAAUGUGUCUUUUUUAUACAAUUAUGUUGAAAACUGUAUUGUUCAUAUAUUGUAUAAAAAUAUGAACCUUCAAUAAAGCAUGAAGAAAGUAAACAAUCCAUAGCUGCAGGUCUAGAAAAAUAAAGUGAUUUGAUGAAUCUAUUGCAAUGUGUAUUGCAGGGCUCGACAUUAACGCUUGCCCGCUUGAAAUAAACUCUGUGUUCGGGGAAAUGGAA